UCGCUAGGUGUCGGCCACGGUGCGACCGUUGUCGGUGCCGUAGGGAAGCCGUGAAGCGAGCCACCUGGGAAGUACGGCCGCAAGGCUGAAACUUAAAGGAAUUGGCGGGGGAGCACCACAACGGGUGGAGCUUGCGGUUUAAUUGGAUUCAACGCCGGAAAUCUUACCGGGACCGACAGCAAUAUGAAGGCCAGGCUGAAGACUUUGCCGGAUUAGCUGAGAGGUGGUGCAUGGCCGUCGUCAGUUCGUACUGUGAAGCAUCCUGUUAAGUCAGGCAACGAGCGAGACCCACGCCCACAGUUGCCAGCGUACUCUCUGGAGUGACGGGUACUC
Molecule: ribosomal RNA, 333 nt
Filed under: uncultured Methanosarcinales archaeon
Lineage: Archaea; Methanobacteriati; Methanobacteriota; Methanomicrobia; Methanosarcinales
Description: bacterial SSU rRNA
Rfam family: Archaeal small subunit ribosomal RNA
Source: RNAcentral